This 759-nucleotide ribosomal RNA is filed under the name Triticum aestivum (bread wheat). RNAcentral describes it as "partial small subunit ribosomal RNA". Lineage: Eukaryota; Viridiplantae; Streptophyta; Magnoliopsida; Poales; Poaceae. The record is from RNAcentral.
AUGGCGCGGUUUGCUGCGCUCGCCGCGCUUCUGCUCGCCGUGGCGGUGGGCGGCGCCGCGGCGCAGGGCGUGGGCUCCGUCAUCACGCAGUCCAUGUACGCGAGCAUGCUGCCCAACCGCGACAACUCGCUGUGCCCGGCCAGGGGGUUCUACACGUACGACGCCUUCAUCGCCGCCGCCAACACCUUCCCGGGCUUCGGCACCACCGGCAGCGCCGACGAUGUCAAGCGCGAGCUCGCCGCCUUCUUCGGCCAGACCUCACACGAGACCACCGGCGGGACGAGAGGCGCCGCCGACCAGUUCCAGUGGGGCUACUGCUUCAAGGAGGAGAUAAACAAGGCCACGUCCCCACCCUACUAUGGACGGGGACCCAUCCAAUUGACAGGGCAGUCCAACUACGAUCUCGCCGGGAGAGCCAUCGGGAAGGACCUGGUGAGCAACCCGGACCUGGUCUCUACGGACGCGGUGGUGUCGUUCAGGACGGCGAUGUGGUUCUGGAUGACGGCGCAGGGCAACAAGCCGUCAAGCCACGACGUCGCCCUAGGCCGCUGGACGCCGACGGCCGCCGACACCGCUGCCGGUCGGGUGCCCGGAUACGGCGUGAUCACUAAUAUCAUCAACGGCGGGCUCGAGUGUGGCAUUGGCCAGAACGAUGCCAACGUCGAUCGCAUCGGCUACUACAUGCGCUACUGCAGCAUACUCGGCACGGCCACCGGGGGCAACCUCGACUGCUACACCCAGCGAAACUUCGCUAGUUAG